Molecule: ribosomal RNA, 410 nt
Filed under: uncultured Methylomirabilota bacterium
Lineage: Bacteria; Methylomirabilota (SeqCode)
Description: bacterial SSU rRNA
Rfam family: Bacterial small subunit ribosomal RNA
Source: RNAcentral
AGCGUGGAGACAGGUGGUGCAUGGCUGUCGUCAGCUCGUGUCGUGAGAUGUUGGGUUAAGUCCCGCAACGAGCGCAACCCUCACCUCUUGUUGCCAUCAGGUCAUGCUGGGCACUCUAGAGGAACUGCCCCGGUCAACGGGGAGGAAGGCGGGGAUGACGUCAAGUCAUCAUGCCCCUUACGUCCUGGGCUACACACGUGCUACAAUGGCCGGUACAAAGGGAUGCCACACCGCGAGGGAGAGCUAAACCCAAAAAGCCGGUCUAAGUUCAGAUUGGAGUCUGCAACUCGACUCCAUGAAGGAGGAAUCGCUAGUAAUCGCGUAUCAGCACGACGCGGUGAAUACGUUCCCGGGCCUUGUACACACCGCCCGUCACACCACGAAAGCCUGCUGUACUCGAAGUCGCUGAG